Molecule: ribosomal RNA, 484 nt
Filed under: uncultured bacterium
Lineage: Bacteria
Description: partial 16S ribosomal RNA
Rfam family: Bacterial small subunit ribosomal RNA
Source: RNAcentral
AUUGAACGCUGGCGGCAUGCCUUACACAUGCAAGUCGAGCGGAUGAAGGGAGCUUUCUCCUUGAUUCAGCGUCGGACGGGUGAGUAAUACCUAUGAAUCUACCUGGUAGUGUGGGAUAACGUCCGGCAACGGGCGCUAAUACCGCAUAUGUUCUGAGGGAGAAAGUGCGGGAUCUUCUGACCUCACGCUAUCAGAUGAUCCUAGGUCGGAUUAGCUAGUUGGUGGGGUAAAGGCCUACCAAGGCGACGAUCCGUAACUGGUCUGAGAGGAUGAUCAGUCACACUGGAACUGAGACACGGUCCAGACUCCUACGGGAGGCAGCAGUGGGGAAUAUUGGACAAUGGGCGAAAGCCUGAUCCAGCAAUGCCGCGUGUGUGAAGAAGGUCUUCGGAUUGUAAAGCACUUUAAGUUGGGAGGAAGGGCAGUGAGUUAAUACCUUGCUGUGUUGACGGUACCAACAGAAUAAGCACCGGCUAACUUCGUG